Molecule: small nucleolar RNA, 132 nt
Organism: Rana temporaria (common frog)
Lineage: Eukaryota; Metazoa; Chordata; Amphibia; Anura; Ranidae
Product: small nucleolar RNA SNORA17
Exons: 1
Source: RefSeq, a predicted model, not a curated record
GUUGCCCCUAGAGGCGUUGCAGACAUAAUUGGUGUUUUAUGUCUGUGUCAUUAGGUGGCAUAGAGCACUGUGGCGGCGUCUACAUUCGGUGCUUAACCUGUGGGUACUAAGAAUGAUUACCUGCCAGACAAU